RNAcentral lists this unclassified non-coding RNA (320 nucleotides) under uncultured Bryobacterales bacterium. RNAcentral's name for it is "contains 16S-23S intergenic spacer region". The record is from RNAcentral. Lineage: Bacteria; Pseudomonadati; Acidobacteriota; Terriglobia; Bryobacterales.
UCCAACUUAUCGCUGGCGGUCUCCUGAGAGUGCUCCCUUACGGGGUGGCAACACAGGACAAGGGUUGCGCUCGUUGCGGGACUUAACCCAACAUCUCACGACACGAGCUGACGACAGCCAUGCAGCACCUCGACUCAAGUCUCUUGCGAGAAGUCCCUGUUUCCAAGGAUGUUCUUAAGCCGUUCGAGCCCAGGUAAGGUUCUUCGCGUUGCGUCGAAUUGAACCACAUGCUCCACCGCUUGUGCGGGCCCCCGUCAAUUCCUUUGAGUUUCAAUCUUGCGAUCGUACUUCCCAGGUGGGAUGACGUAGGAGGAAUUCCA